This 312-nucleotide signal recognition particle RNA is filed under the name Cenarchaeum symbiosum A. RNAcentral's name for it is "Archaeal signal recognition particle RNA". It matches the Rfam family "Archaeal signal recognition particle RNA". Lineage: Archaea; Thermoproteati; Nitrososphaerota; Candidatus Cenarchaeales; Candidatus Cenarchaeaceae. The record is from Rfam by way of RNAcentral.
UAGUAGGGAGGAUUGGGGUGCCAGCCGUGCCCCGUUCUGAAACCGGCUAUAUGCAGAGAUCAGUAACUGCUGGGUAAAUCUCUGGAUAGGCAGUACCCGCUUGGCGUGCGGAAAUGAAAUCACGCCGAGGCGGGUGGUUGCAGGCCCGGGACCAUCCGAAGGGAUGGCUCUGAGGGCCGGACCAUCGAAAGGGACCAGGUCCGGGAGGGAGCAGUCCUAAGUUGGAGCAUCCACGCUUCCUCGUCAACGUGGCGGAUCUUGUGCGCCUUGAAAAGGGGCUGUCGGUCCAGACCGGGUCCGGCAGGGCUACUA